GACGGAGGAUGCAAGCGUUAUCCGGAAUGAUUGGGCGUAAAGCGUCUGCAGGUGGCAGUUCAAGUCUGCUGUCAAAGACCGGGGCUUAACUUCGGAAAGGCAGUGGAAACUGAACAGCUAGAGUAUGGUAGGGGCAGAGGGAAUUCCUGGUGUAGCGGUGAAAUGCGUAGAGAUCAGGAAGAACAUCGGUGGCGAAGGCGCUCUGCUGGACCAUAACUGACACUCAGGGACGAAAGCUAGGGGAGCGAACGGG
Molecule: ribosomal RNA, 253 nt
Filed under: uncultured bacterium
Lineage: Bacteria
Description: partial 16S ribosomal RNA
Rfam family: Bacterial small subunit ribosomal RNA
Source: RNAcentral